GGGCUUAUAGUAAAGUGGUAUUACGCGUCAUUCGCAUUGACGAGGCCCGGGUUCGAUUCCCGGUAAGUCCACCA
This 74-nucleotide transfer RNA is filed under the name bacterium. Its description in RNAcentral is "tRNA-Ala". It matches the Rfam family "tRNA". From Rfam's summary of the family: Transfer RNA (tRNA) molecules are approximately 80 nucleotides in length. The record is from RNAcentral.